AUGAACGCUGGCGGCGUGCCUAAUACAUGCAAGUCGAGCGCACGGACGAGAAGCUUGCUUCUCUGAUGUUAGCGGCGGACGGGUGAGUAACACGUGGAUAACCUACCUAUAAGACUGGGAUAACUUCGGGAAACCGGAGCUAAUACCGGAUAAUAUUUUGAACCGCAUGGUUCAAAAGUGAAAGACGGUCUUGCUGUCACUUAUAGAUGGAUCCGCGCUGCAUUAGCUAGUUGGUAAGGUAACGGCUUACCAAGGCAACGAUGCAUAGCCGACCUGAGAGGGUGAUCGGCCACACUGGAACUGAGACACGGUCCUGACUCCUACGGGAGGCAGCAGUAGGGAAUCUUCCGCAAUGGGCGAAAGCCUGACGGAGCAACGCCGCGUGAGUGAUGAAGGUCUUCGGAUCGUAAAACUCUGUUAUUAGGGAAGAACAUAUGUGUAAGUAACUGUGCACAUCUUGACGGUACCUAAUCAGAAAGCCACGGCUAACUACGUG
RNAcentral lists this ribosomal RNA (496 nucleotides) under uncultured bacterium. Its description in RNAcentral is "partial 16S ribosomal RNA". It matches the Rfam family "Bacterial small subunit ribosomal RNA", at positions 29 to 507 of the family's 1533-position model. The record is from RNAcentral.